CCCAGAGGUCACCCAUCCCACUGCAGGCAUGUGGAUGAACACGUCCAUAGGGCAUCAGCAUGAGCAGCGGCUGAAGUAUUGAAUCUGAAAUUACACACCCCGCACACUUACGGCACGGACCCCAAGGCAAGACGAAAGCUGAAGCACCUCUGUCUGAUGGUGGAGAGGGUUAUGGGCCUUACCGCCGUUCCAGAGCUAAGCACUGCCGCGCCAUCAACGGGGAAAGCUGCAGGUGUUCCUUGGCAACCUGACGGAGAGAUUCGGACUGCCAGAUCUGGGUGAAUUAGACCAUACCAACAAAUCGAGGAG
Paramormyrops kingsleyae is the source of this 309-nucleotide long non-coding RNA. RefSeq lists it as uncharacterized. Lineage: Eukaryota; Metazoa; Chordata; Actinopteri; Osteoglossiformes; Mormyridae. The record is from RefSeq and is a predicted model, not a curated record.